GAAAUGCGAUAAUUAAUGUGAAUUGCAGAAUUCAGUGAAUCAUCGAGUCUUUGAACGCACAUUGCGCCCCCUGGUAUUCCGGGGGGCAUGCCUGUCCGAGCGUCAUUGCUGCCCUCAAGCACGGCUUGUGUGUUGGGCUUCCGUCCCUGGCAACGGGGACGGGCCCAAAAGGCAGUGGCGGCACCAUGUCUGGUCCUCGAGCGUAUGGGGCUUUGUCACCCGCUCCCGUAGGUCCAGCUGGCAGCUAGCCUCGCAACCAAUCUUUUUAACCAGGUUGACCUCGGAUCAGGUAGGGAUACGCGCUGAACUUAAGC
RNAcentral lists this unclassified non-coding RNA (314 nucleotides) under plant metagenome. RNAcentral describes it as "partial contains 5.8S ribosomal RNA, internal transcribed spacer 2, and large subunit ribosomal RNA". The stretch from base 1 to 105 matches the Rfam family "5.8S ribosomal RNA", at positions 50 to 154 of the family's 154-position model. The record is from RNAcentral.